This is a non-coding RNA of Silurus meridionalis, 661 nucleotides long. The record is from the annotation of a RefSeq genome assembly. Lineage: Eukaryota; Metazoa; Chordata; Actinopteri; Siluriformes; Siluridae.
GACAUCACUCUAUUUAUGUGAAGGUCAAACUCUGUUAAACUUUGGAGAACAGAGAAGACCCCAGUACAAACAACACCCACCAUGUUCUCUACAUCUCUACUGCUCCUGCUGGCAGCUGCUUCCUAUGUGCAUGGUGAGGAACUGACUCAGCCUGCUUCCAUGACAGUCCAGCCAGGCCAGAGUCUCUCCAUUGAAUGCAAUGUUUCAUAUUUAGUUACGGUUUUUGGUACAGCUUGGAUUCGACAACGUGCAGGAAAAGCUCUGGAGUGGAUUGGAGCCAUUAAUAGUGUUGGACGUAGAGAUUACAGUGACAAACUGAAAAAUAUGUUCAGCAUCUCUAGAGACCCGUCCAGAAGAACAGUAAUAUUAACACGACAGAACAUGCAGACUGAAGACACAGCUGUGUAUUACUGCGCUCGUGAACCACAAUGAGAAACAUCACCAACAUCCCUGUACAAAAACAUCCUUUACAGAAAACUGUUUAUCAGCAAAAUUAGUGAAUAGGACUUUUAUUCUUCAACUGCAUUUUUCACCUGCAUCUUAUGAGUUUUUCUAAAACAACCACACAUACAGUACAAUUGUUACUUUUACAUCACAUCCAAUAUACUACAUGCUGAAAUGAUAGUUGAUGAUAAAAUACUUCAUAUCUUUUAGACUGUUG